AGAUUAAGCCAUGCAUGUCUAAGUAUAAGCAUUUAUACUGUGAAACUGCGAAUGGCUCAUUAAAUCAGUUAUAGUUUAUUUGAUAAUACUUACUACUUGGAUAACCGUAGUAAUUCUAGAGCUAAUACAUGCGUCAAAUCCCGACUUACGAAGGGAUGUAUUUAUUAGAUAAAAACCAAUGCGUGGCAACACGGACAUGUGGUGAUUCAUGAUAACUUUGCGAAUCGUAU
This 230-nucleotide ribosomal RNA is filed under the name uncultured fungus. RNAcentral describes it as "partial 18S ribosomal RNA". It matches the Rfam family "Eukaryotic small subunit ribosomal RNA", at positions 41 to 274 of the family's 1831-position model. Lineage: Eukaryota; Fungi. The record is from RNAcentral.